AGAGUUUGAUCCUGGCUCAGAACGAACGUUGGCGGCGUGGAUUAGGCAUGCAAGUCGAACGAAUCCCUUGGGGGUAACUCUGAGGGGGAAGUGGCGAAAGGGGCAGUAAGGCGUGGGUAACUUGCCCCGGGGCCCGGAAUAGCCAUCCUAACGGAUGGGUAAUACCGGACGUGCUGGUCUGGCGGCAUCACCGGACCAGG
This 200-nucleotide ribosomal RNA is filed under the name uncultured bacterium. RNAcentral describes it as "partial 16S ribosomal RNA". It matches the Rfam family "Bacterial small subunit ribosomal RNA", at positions 8 to 202 of the family's 1533-position model. The record is from RNAcentral.